This 770-nucleotide ribosomal RNA is filed under the name Epitimetes lutosus. RNAcentral describes it as "eukaryotic LSU rRNA". It matches the Rfam family "Eukaryotic large subunit ribosomal RNA", at positions 411 to 937 of the family's 3401-position model. Lineage: Eukaryota; Metazoa; Arthropoda; Insecta; Coleoptera; Curculionidae. The record is from RNAcentral.
AGGGGUAAACCUGAGAAACCCGAAAGGUCGAAGGGAGAAAUUCAUUCGCGUUUCGCCGUUGGCGGGAGACGGUCGUGUGACGGGGGACGUUCGCGCGUUUUCCGCACCUUUCGUCUGUCGAUCCGAUAGCGAACGCGUGCACUUUUCUCCUGGUAGGACGUCGCGAUCCGUUGGGUGUCGGUCUACGGCUCGCGGUGGAGCCCGGACGUACGGUUCGCCGUCACGUUCGGACCCGCGUGUCCCGGCUGACUCGCUCGACGGUAUACGAAAGGUUUAAGGCCGCUCUCUUAGAGCGUUCGGCUCGCUGCAAGCGCGUCAGAUGUGUCGGCGAUCGGACCUAGUGCCGGUUCUGACCUCUGGCGACUGUUGGCCGCGAAGUUCUCGAACAGACCUCACAGUUUAGACCGAUCUGCGACGCUAUAGCUUUGGGUACUUUCAGGACCCGUCUUGAAACACGGACCAAGGAGUCUAGCAUGUGCGCGAGUCAUUGGGAAUCACUAAACCUAAAGGCGCAAUGAAAGUAAAAGUCCGCCUCGCGCGGACUUAGGGAAGACGGGCGGUUUACCCUUAAAAGUGGCCGCUCCGCACUCCCGGGGCGUCUCAUUCUCAUCGCGAGAAGAGGCGCACCAAGAGCGUACACGCUGGGACCCGAAAGAUGGUGAACUAUGCCUGGUCAGGACGAAGUCAGGGGAAACCCUGAUGGAGGUCCGUAGCGAUUCUGACGUGCAAAUCGAUCGUCGGAACUGGGUAUAGGGGCGAAAGACUAAUCG